AUCUGGAUGACGAGUCCUAAAUAGGAUGAUACGUGCGUCCUAGAU
This is a non-coding RNA of Schistosoma rodhaini, 45 nucleotides long. NCBI's taxonomy places the organism in Eukaryota, Metazoa, Platyhelminthes, Trematoda, Strigeidida, Schistosomatidae. The record is from Rfam.